GUAGGUGGUAAGCGUUGUCCGGAAUUAUUGGGCGUAAAGCGCGCGCAGGCGGUUCUUUAAGUCUGAUGUGAAAGCCCACGGGCUCAACCGUGGAGGGUCAUUGGAAACUGGAGAACUUGAGUACAGAAGAGGAAAGCGGAAUUCCACGUGUAGCGGUGAAAUGCGUAGAGAUGUGGAGGAACACCAGUGGCGAAGGCGGCUUUCUGGUCUGUAACUGACGCUGAGGCGCGAAAGCGUGGGGAGCAAACAGGAUUAGAUACCCUGGUAGUCCACGCCGUAAACGAUGAGUGCUAAGUGUUAGGGGGUUUCCGCCCCUUAGUGCUGCAGCUAACGCAUUAAGCACUCCGCCUGGGGAGUACGGCCGCAAGGCUG
This 372-nucleotide ribosomal RNA is filed under the name uncultured organism. RNAcentral describes it as "partial 16S ribosomal RNA". It matches the Rfam family "Bacterial small subunit ribosomal RNA", at positions 527 to 896 of the family's 1533-position model. The record is from RNAcentral.